RNAcentral lists this transfer RNA (85 nucleotides) under Felis catus (domestic cat). It matches the Rfam family "tRNA". Rfam says of the family: Transfer RNA (tRNA) molecules are approximately 80 nucleotides in length. Their secondary structure includes four short double-helical elements and three loops (D, anti-codon, and T loops). Further hydrogen bonds mediate the characteristic L-shaped molecular structure. tRNAs have two regions of fundamental functional importance: the anti-codon, which is responsible for specific mRNA codon recognition, and the 3' end, to which the tRNAs corresponding amino acid is attached (by aminoacyl-tRNA synthetases). tRNAs cope with the degeneracy of the genetic code in two manners: having more than one tRNA (with a specific anti-codon) for a particular amino acid; and 'wobble' base-pairing, i.e. permitting non-standard base-pairing at the 3rd anti-codon position. The record is from Rfam by way of RNAcentral. RNAcentral also lists the same sequence under 4 other names. Lineage: Eukaryota; Metazoa; Chordata; Mammalia; Carnivora; Felidae.
ACCUGGGUGGCUCAGUCGGUUGAGCGUCUGACUUCAGCUCAGGCCAUGAUCUCACGGUUUGUGGGUUUGAGCCCCGCAUCGGGCU